Molecule: transfer RNA, 72 nt
Filed under: Camelus bactrianus (Bactrian camel)
Lineage: Eukaryota; Metazoa; Chordata; Mammalia; Artiodactyla; Camelidae
Also listed under: 2 other names
Rfam family: tRNA
About the family: Transfer RNA (tRNA) molecules are approximately 80 nucleotides in length.
Source: Rfam by way of RNAcentral
GAGGGUAUAGCUCAGUGGUAGAGUGUGUGCUUAGCUUGCACGAGGUCCUGGGUUCAAUCCCCAGCACCUCCA